RNAcentral lists this non-coding RNA (30 nucleotides) under uncultured Vannella. The record is from RNAcentral. Lineage: Eukaryota; Discosea; Flabellinia; Vannellidae.
GCCCCUGCCCCUGCCGCGGGGAGCGCCGCG